AUCAUACAUCACACAAUACCCAUAAAUUACAAUAAAAUUUCGUAACAUAAAAAAGUUCAAUACAAAGUAUUGUUCACCAUUAUGAAACAAACACCAUAACGCAAAUGUAAAUGCCAUAAUCAAAAAUUAAUUUCCUACUGAAAUAAUUGACCCCUAAUAAAUUAGGGGUGAUAAAAUAUCUUCAAUUCUUCUGGAUGUGAACUCAUUGCCCCUUUGAGAUUGCGUCUUCAUGCUUGUUGCUGAGAGAAGUGAAAAUUUGCU
Molecule: long non-coding RNA, 261 nt
Filed under: Erythranthe guttata (spotted monkey flower)
Lineage: Eukaryota; Viridiplantae; Streptophyta; Magnoliopsida; Lamiales; Phrymaceae
Description: long non-coding RNA (EGUT_LNC001856)
Source: RNAcentral